UACGGAAGGUCCGGGCGUUAUCCGGAUUUAUUGGGUUUAAAGGGAGCGUAGGCCGGAGAUUAAGCGUGUUGUGAAAUGUAGAUGCUCAACAUCAGCACUGCAGCGCGAACUGGUUUCCUUGAGUACGCACAAAGUGGGCGGAAUUCGUGGUGUAGCGGUGAAAUGCUUAGAUAUCACGAAGAACUCCGAUUGCGAAGGCAGCUCACUGGAGCGCAACUGACGCUGAAGCUCGAAAGUGCGGGUAUCGAACAGG
This 253-nucleotide ribosomal RNA is filed under the name Segatella copri DSM 18205. Its description in RNAcentral is "Prevotella copri DSM 18205 partial 16S ribosomal RNA". It matches the Rfam family "Bacterial small subunit ribosomal RNA", at positions 524 to 776 of the family's 1533-position model. Lineage: Bacteria; Pseudomonadati; Bacteroidota; Bacteroidia; Bacteroidales; Prevotellaceae. The record is from RNAcentral.